GGUUAAGCGACUAAGCGUACACGGUGGAUGCCCUGGCAGUCAGAGGCGAUGAAGGACGUGCUAAUCUGCGAAAAGCGUCGGUAAGGUGAUAUGAACCGUUACAGCCGGCGAUGUCCGAAUGGGGAAACCCAGUGUGAUUCGUCACACUAUCGUUAACUGAAUACAUAGGUUAACGAGGCGAACCGGGGGAACUGAAACAUCUAAGUACCCCGAGGAAAAGAAAUCAACCGAGAUUCCCCCAGUAGCGGCGAGCGAACGGGGAGCAGCCCAGAGUCUGAAUCAGCUUGUGUGUUAGUGGAACGGUCUGGAAAGUCCGACGGUACAGGGUGAUAGUCCCGUACACCAAAAUGCACAGGUUGUGAACUCGAAGAGUAGGGCGGGACACGUGGUAUCCUGUCUGAAUAUGGGGGGACCAUCCUCCAAGGCUAAAUACUCCUGACUGACCGAUAGUGAACCAGUACCGUGAGGGAAAGGCGAAAAGAACCCCGGCGAGGGGAGUGAAAAAGAACCUGAAACCGUGUACGUACAAGCAGUGGGAGCACCUUAGGGUGUGACUGCGUACCUUUUGUAUAAUGGGUCAGCGACUUAUAUUCUGUAGCAAGGUUAACCGUAUAGGGGAGCCGCAGGGAAACCGAGUCUUAACUGGGCGUUAAGUUGCAGGGUAUAGACCCGAAACCCGGUGAUCUAGCCAUGGGCAGGUUGAAGGUUGGGUAACACUAACUGGAGGACCGAACCGACUAAUGUUGAAAAAUUAGCGGAUGACUUGUGGCUGGGGGUGAAAGGCCAAUCAAACCGGGAGAUAGCUGGUUCUCCCCGAAAGCUAUUUAGGUAGCGCCUCGUGAACUCAUCUUCGGGGGUAGAGCACUGUUUCGGCUAGGGGGUCAUCCCGACUUACCAACCCGAUGCAAACUACGAAUACCGAAGAAUGUUAUCACGGGAGACACACGGCGGGUGCUAACGUCCGUCGUGAAGAGGGAAACAACCCAGACCGCCAGCUAAGGUCCCAAAGUCAUGGUUAAGUGGGAAACGAUGUGGGAAGGCACAGACAGCCAGGAUGUUGGCUUAGAAGCAGCCAUCAUUUAAAGAAAGCGUAAUAGCUCACUGGUCGAGUCGGCCUGCGCGGAAGAUGUAACGGGGCUAAACCAUGCACCGAAGCUGCGGCAGCGACACUAUGUGUUGUUGGGUAGGGGAGCGUUCUGUAAGCCUGCGAAGGUGUGCUGUGAGGCAUGCUGGAGGUAUCAGAAGUGCGAAUGCUGACAUAAGUAACGAUAAAGCGGGUGAAAAGCCCGCUCGCCGGAAGACCAAGGGUUCCUGUCCAACGUUAAUCGGGGCAGGGUGAGUCGACCCCUAAGGCGAGGCCGAAAGGCGUAGUCGAUGGGAAACAGGUUAAUAUUCCUGUACUUGGUGUUACUGCGAAGGGGGGACGGAGAAGGCUAUGUUAGCCGGGCGACGGUUGUCCCGGUUUAAGCAUGUAGGCUGGUUAUCCAGGCAAAUCCGGAUAAUCAAGGCUGAGGUGUGAUGACGAGGCACUACGGUGCUGAAGUAACAAAUGCCCUGCUUCCAGGAAAAGCCUCUAAGCAUCAGGUAACAUCAAAUCGUACCCCAAACCGACACAGGUGGUCAGGUAGAGAAUACCAAGGCGCUUGAGAGAACUCGGGUGAAGGAACUAGGCAAAAUGGUGCCGUAACUUCGGGAGAAGGCACGCUGGUGUGUAGGUGAAGUCCCUGCGGAUGGAGCUGAGACCAGUCGAAGAUACCAGCUGGCUGCAACUGUUUAUUAAAAACACAGCACUGUGCAAACACGAAAGUGGACGUAUACGGUGUGACGCCUGCCCGGUGCCGGAAGGUUAAUUGAUGGGGUUAUCCGUAAGGAGAAGCUCUUGAUCGAAGCCCCGGUAAACGGCGGCCGUAACUAUAACGGUCCUAAGGUAGCGAAAUUCCUUGUCGGGUAAGUUCCGACCUGCACGAAUGGCGUAAUGAUGGCCAGGCUGUCUCCACCCGAGACUCAGUGAAAUUGAACUCGCUGUGAAGAUGCAGUGUACCCGCGGCAAGACGGAAAGACCCCGUGAACCUUUACUAUAGCUUGACACUGAACAUUGAGCCUUGAUGUGUAGGAUAGGUGGGAGGCUUUGAAGCGUGGACGCCAGUCUGCGUGGAGCCAACCUUGAAAUACCACCCUUUAAUGUUUGAUGUUCUAACGUUGGCCCCUGACCGGGGUUGCGGACAGUGUCUGGUGGGUAGUUUGACUGGGGCGGUCUCCUCCCAAAGCGUAACGGAGGAGCACGAAGGUUAGCUAAUCCUGGUCGGACAUCAGGAGGUUAGUGCAAUGGCAUAAGCUAGCUUGACUGCGAGCGUGACGGCGCGAGCAGGUGCGAAAGCAGGUCAUAGUGAUCCGGUGGUUCUGAAUGGAAGGGCCAUCGCUCAACGGAUAAAAGGUACUCCGGGGAUAACAGGCUGAUACCGCCCAAGAGUUCAUAUCGACGGCGGUGUUUGGCACCUCGAUGUCGGCUCAUCACAUCCUGGGGCUGAAGUAGGUCCCAAGGGUAUGGCUGUUCGCCAUUUAAAGUGGUACGCGAGCUGGGUUUAGAACGUCGUGAGACAGUUCGGUCCCUAUCUGCCGUGGGCGCUGGAGAAUUGAGGGGGGCUGCUCCUAGUACGAGAGGACCGGAGUGGACGCAUCACUGGUGUUCGGGUUGUCAUGCCAAUGGCACUGCCCGGUAGCUAAAUGCGGAAGAGAUAAGUGCUGAAAGCAUCUAAGCACGAAACUUGCCCCGAGAUGAGUUCUCCCUGAGACUAUAAGUCUCCUGAAGGAACGUUGAAGACGACGACGUUGAUAGGCCGGGUGUGUAAGCGCAGCGAUGCGUUGAGCUAACCGGUACUAAUGAACCGUGAGGCUUAACCUU
Molecule: ribosomal RNA, 2902 nt
Filed under: Klebsiella pneumoniae
Lineage: Bacteria; Pseudomonadati; Pseudomonadota; Gammaproteobacteria; Enterobacterales; Enterobacteriaceae
Description: 23S ribosomal RNA
Rfam family: Bacterial large subunit ribosomal RNA
Source: RNAcentral